Molecule: long non-coding RNA, 2706 nt
Organism: Papaver somniferum (opium poppy)
Lineage: Eukaryota; Viridiplantae; Streptophyta; Magnoliopsida; Ranunculales; Papaveraceae
Exons: 6
Source: RefSeq, a predicted model, not a curated record
CCCAGUUCUCUCAGAUAACUGAGAAAAAUGAAAUUGGAUCUGAGAUUUCUGCAGCUUGAUUUAAGAACAAUCUUCAGUUAUUUAUUCAUAUCUUCAACAGAAAAUGAGUGCAAGUCUGGUAAGAUUAAGAAACUUGAUGAAAUUGGCAAGAGUGAUGUAAGGAUCCAUCUACUUGUAAGGAUUAUCAAGGUCUUUCUUCCGAAGGAGUCAUUUCAACAUCCAAUUCCAUGCCAAUUACAACAGUUUCCAUGCCAAUUACAGCAGUUUCCGUGCCAAUUACAACAGUUUCCGUGCCAAUUACAACAGUUUUCAUGUAGGUUGCCUUGUUGCCAUGAGUGUGAAGAUUCAUUCAUACAGGAUUUAAAGUCUAAGAGAUCACUUCUAUCAUCGUCAUGGCAGUUCUGUGAGGCUAGUGGGAAUUGAGUGAUGCUGGAGAGGGAAAAUGUUGUCAGGCUUUUCAGAUCCAAAUUUGUGUUACUCGAGAUGAGAUUUCAAAGAUCAGCUCAGCGAUUGAAGAUCUUAACCUGCAUAUUUAGGUUCUGCAAAUCCUGAAUUUGUAUACAUUGAACAUUUUGAUUAAGAAUCUAGCUGUCAAGUAGGCCAAGUUAAUCCUGACAAAUGAAUGAUAUAGGGAUGAAGAUACUUGAUGAAAGUGGCAACAAUAAUAUUAUGAUCCAUCUUUUUGUAAUAAUUUUCAAGGUCUUUGUUCCCAAGGUUGAUUGAGAUGACUCGAUGAUAAACGAUCUGAAGAGUUUGAACAUCUAAUUCCUUGCCAAUUGCAACAGUUUUCGUAUAUGUUGCCUUGUUGUCAUGGUGAUAAACGAUUUGAAGAGUCGUUCGAAGAGAAUUUUAAGUUUAAGAGAGCACUUCUAUCCUCGUCAUGGCAGCCAUGGCAGGAUAGUGGGAAUUGAGUGAUGCUGAUGAAGAAUGUGGUACUUCACAAUAUCAUGAAGGGACAUCUUUGAACAUCUCUCUUUGGUCAAUAAUAAAGAGAUCGAUUUUGACGCCUUCAAAGCUACCUUUCCUGUUUCUGGGAUUAAUAAGUUUAUAAACUCUCAAGGUUUGGUGAUCAACCGGGAUGCCAGCAGCAAACAGACAGGUACCUGGUCACGUGAGGAACCAAAUUCACCUUUCUGGAGUUUACGUGGUGUCCUCUUGAGCAGUAUUAGCUGAGUUAUGGAAGCAGACAAGAAAGAGAAAGGAGCUAUGGAAGCAGAAAACUCCAUCCUUAAAGCUGAAGUCAAUAAAGGGAGUGGUGAGAAAAGUGCUCUUGUCAAUGGUCUCGAAAACAAGUUUUACAUUUGACUUCAGCUUUAAGGAUGGAGUUUUUUGCUUCUAUAGCUGCCUUUGACAAUCACCAACCACCAGGUGGUUGAAAAUUAGGAGACAACAGUACGUCCAAUGUUCAGACUAACCGUUACUAUGGAAAAUAUUUUCUAUAGUGGUCGUCAACACUGCAGAUUUGACUCCCAACAGAGACGGGGCAAUAUUCCCUACAUUUGGGUUAAGAGGAAAAAGAGAGGGAACUCGCCAAAAGAAAGAAAUCAAAAGUGGAUGUGGAUGUGGAUGUGGAUUUGGAUGUGGAUGUGGAUGUUUUUAGAGGGAAAUUCAGUGGUUACUAAGGUUAUCAAUCCAAUAUGCAUGUGUACCAGACAACAGAAGCACUGCUGAUUGGAAUAUAAUGAAUUUGCUGAUAUUCCUCCUGAGAAAAUUAGAGUACUUAAUAAUCAAGUAUGGUGAUGAACAAUACCCACCGGCAGCGAUCAAGUAAGUCACGAAGAAUGCUAUGCCAUGCAUAGGCACAACAUUUGUGCGGAUUACAAAAAAUUUGCCAGUCACAAUGAAGCUUUGGCGGUCGACUCAACCGAUGACUCGGAGAUUACAAAAGCGGACUGACUUCAUAUGUGUAAAAUUCUCACCACUGACGAAUUCAAGAACUAUCUUCGCAGGACAUGAUGCAGCUGCUGCAAUAGAAUCAACCGCAGUACCUAUAAAGACCGAGUAAUCUAGAUGGCGCUAAAGCUGCAUUGCUUCACAACCUCCAGAACCCCACCACAGUCACCACCAGCACCACCAAAUGAAUCGUCGUAAUACUGGUUUAUGUUAUUUCGGAGCCCUUACAUAUACCCUGGAGGGACAACUUCUCCUAAUCAUUGCAGUGUGAUUUUUCCUCGCAACCUGAGUCAUUAGCCGCCCAUCAUCAGAUUAUUUGAGGUUCUCAGCUAUGCUAUGUUUAUCUGUCAAUAAUCCCAGUUAACAUCUCAAGUCUUGGCCAAUUUUAGUCUCGGACGUUUCCUUACUUGCAAGGAGAAGAAAAAUGUCUGUAAUAAAGAUAUUUACAUAGUGAAUUAUCCUAUUAGUUUGAUCGCGAAUCAUUAGAGUUAGAAUCCAUUUAUCUGUCCGUUCAUCCCAGUCCUUGAAUCAUUCAGAGAUUUCGGAAUGGGGUUUUGCCAUCUUUUCUAUACAUACUUGGAAGUUGUAUAUCAUAACACUUUUGGUUGUGCUGGAGAAAAAGUACAUUUAGAGCAUCAGUGAGUUGAGCUGUUACAUCGGGGUGCUUGACGUAUCGAAAGACCAGAGCUAGCGAAAGAAAUUUUGCACAAUUUUGUUCUAUCUGUUAGUAUACAAUCUGUAGGUUUGAGUUUAAAAAUCUCAAGUUUUUUUUUUGUUCUUGUUCUGUGAAACCUGAUUGUUGUCAAGGCAACU